Molecule: ribosomal RNA, 220 nt
Filed under: uncultured Glomus
Lineage: Eukaryota; Fungi; Glomeromycota; Glomeromycetes; Glomerales; Glomeraceae
Description: partial small subunit ribosomal RNA
Rfam family: Eukaryotic small subunit ribosomal RNA
Source: RNAcentral
CCAAUAGCGUAUAUUAAAGUUGUUGCAGUUAAAAAGCUCGUAGUUGAAUUUCGGGAUCAGUACGUUGGUCAUGCCUUGGUAUGUACUGGUGUCACUGAUUCCUUCCUUCUGACGAACCGUUAUGCCAUUAAUUUGGUGUGGCGGGAAAUCAGAACUGUUACUUUGAAAAAAUUAGAGUGUUUAAAGCAGGCUCGCGCUUGAAUACAUUAGCAUGGAAUAA